GCCCAAGUAGCUCACUCGGUAGAGCAGAAGACUGAAAAUCUUCGUGUCGGCAUCGCAGCCAUGCUGCGUGGGCA
This 74-nucleotide transfer RNA is filed under the name Bdellovibrionales bacterium. Its description in RNAcentral is "tRNA-Phe". It matches the Rfam family "tRNA". From Rfam's summary of the family: Transfer RNA (tRNA) molecules are approximately 80 nucleotides in length. Their secondary structure includes four short double-helical elements and three loops (D, anti-codon, and T loops). The record is from RNAcentral. Lineage: Bacteria; Pseudomonadati; Bdellovibrionota; Bdellovibrionia; Bdellovibrionales.